Molecule: long non-coding RNA, 1030 nt
Filed under: Monodelphis domestica (gray short-tailed opossum)
Lineage: Eukaryota; Metazoa; Chordata; Mammalia; Didelphimorphia; Didelphidae
Description: lncRNA (ENSMODG00000037215.1)
Source: RNAcentral
CUUUAUUCUGUGUCUCUGUGUGUUGUGUGUUCUGUGUGUUCUCUGUGACAUCAGAAAUGGGCUAGAAAGGAGGAUUCUUUCAUGGGCUCCAUGACAUUAGGUCAUUCCCAUAUCUCAGUUUUCCUGCCUAAAAGUGGGACUUAUAAACCCUCCCUUGCUCAGAUGUUAGGAUGGGAGGAUUAAGAUUGCAAACAUUAUUGCUGUGCCUUUCAGCUAAAAGAUUAUGAGCAAUUUAAGGAUCAGAAUGGGGUCUGUAUAAUCUCUGUUGCAUCAUGCCUAACAUAAGCCCACAGGGAACCUUCAUAUAUAAUUAACAUUUUCUGCAUCAGAGAGGAGGGAAUCAGAGUGAUGAAGAAGAAAAGGAACUUGACAGCUUAGAGUAUGGAAAAAGUUUGCUUUCAGAGCAGUCUACAGUGUGAAAAUUGCAGAAAUCCUCUGUCUUUCACACACACCACAGCCAGAACCAGGGGGAAUCACCUCUCUCUUUUAGACAUAUUUCAUGAAGUGAUUUGUCAGUGCUUUCAAGAACAUGUUGCUUCCAGGAUAGAUUUCCUUGUGUAUGCCCUGGAUCUGGAACUAACACCACUGCCAACUUCAUCUUCCUCAGUUCCACUGCCACUUCUUUGCAUGAGAAAUAAGAAGUCAAGAAAUGUGGAGUGAUCAUCCAUAAAUGGUUUUACCUGCAUCACCAAUGAGACUAAGAUGGCUGCAGUAUAGAAGGAACUUCAUGCCUCUUCCUACUACCAAUCACAACAAAGCAUCUCAAAAGGACAAAAAUCAAAACCAGACAUGAAGGUAGGCAGGGUUUGGGCAUUUCCAUGCUAUAAGGGGGUAAAAUUAUACCUACCAAAGUAUGAGCUGAUCACUCCCACACAUACCAUCUUAUGGUGCCAGAAUCAGAGUGAAGGCUGGAGCAAUAUCUAAAUUCCUGGGAGCUGGCUGAGGGCACCACAGUCUUAUCCCUGAGAACAAUGCAAAGCCUUGGCAGCAAGACUUGGGACCCCUGGAAUAAAGGAACAGAGAUAGUACA